Molecule: long non-coding RNA, 727 nt
Organism: Sardina pilchardus (European sardine)
Lineage: Eukaryota; Metazoa; Chordata; Actinopteri; Clupeiformes; Clupeidae
Exons: 3
Source: RefSeq, a predicted model, not a curated record
UGAUCCCACUCUUCCCCUGCUCAGAACUGCCUUUAAAGUUGCACUCUGUGGGACGAUAAAGCGUUCUCUCUCUCUGUUGUCUGCUCGAGGUCAAUUUACAUCUAGCCUUUUCAGAGAGAAGCACCUACGCACGCACCAGGAAAAGGACUGCAAGUGGAUCGCUUCUUCAUCAGGAAGAGGGGACAGGAAGUGGUCAGCGUUGGGCUAAUCGGACGGGGCUACUCACCGUUGCCUCGCCACACCUCGGCCAAGUGGCAGCCACUCUCGCCGGGCUCCUUGCAGAACUCCACCACGUCGCGGCAGGACGUCUCCGGGGUGAUGGGCACCUCGGACGCCGCCUGCUCGCCAUCGUUCAGGCCUAGAGGCCCUGUGACAGGCCAUAGAGAGAUAAGGCUGCAGAGCAGAGCAAUGUGGAGAGGACUGGAGCAGUAGACAACAGGAGGCACAAUACUGGAGAAAGAGACGGACUCUGGAGACAGCGUCUGAACUGCAACUCACUCACACCACAACAGACAAAAAAACACAGGCGUAGGAGUGGACCGUGCCCGGCGAACAUCAGGCGUGAGGAGAGACGAGGGACUAGACAGUGGCUGGCAGUAUGUGUCCCAAAUGUCCCGCUGCGGUAUUGAGCCGAGCUCAUGAGAGUGGAUCUCACCAAGAAGAUCUUAUGCAUUACGUCCCACAGUAUGAUUUCAUUCAAAUGUAUGACACCACCAAAACAAACCAC